AUACGGAGGGUGCAAGCGUUGUUCGGAAUCACUGGGCGUAAAGGGCGCGCAGGCGGUUUGGUAAGUCAGAUGUGAAAGCCCACGGCUCAACCGUGGAAGUGCAUUUGAAACUGUCAGACUUGAGUACUAGAGGGGAAAGUGGAAUUCCCGGUGUAGAGGUGAAAUUCGUAGAUAUCGGGAGGAAUACCGGUGGCGAAGGCGACUUUCUGGCUAGAUACUGACGCUGAGGUGCGAAAGCGUGGGGAGCAAACAGAAUUAGAUACCCUUGUAGUCC
RNAcentral lists this ribosomal RNA (274 nucleotides) under uncultured bacterium. Its description in RNAcentral is "partial 16S ribosomal RNA". It matches the Rfam family "Bacterial small subunit ribosomal RNA", at positions 523 to 796 of the family's 1533-position model. The record is from RNAcentral.